This 2206-nucleotide long non-coding RNA is filed under the name Papio anubis (olive baboon). RNAcentral describes it as "lncRNA (ENSPANG00000039465.1)". The record is from RNAcentral. Lineage: Eukaryota; Metazoa; Chordata; Mammalia; Primates; Cercopithecidae.
AUGUGUGAAUUCAACAUUUUUAACAUCUUUUUUUUCUUUUUUUUUAAUUAUUAUACUUUAAGUUCUAGGGUACAUGUGCAUAACAUGCAGGUUUAUUACAUAUGUAUACUUGUGCCAUGUUGGUGUGCUGCACCCAUCAAAUCGUCAGAACCCAUCAACACGUCAUUUACAUCAGGUGAGGUGAUGCCUAGCCCUGCUUCAGCUCUCGCUGGUCGGGCUGCAGCAGCUGACCAGCACCGACUGUCCCGCACUCCCUAGUGAGAUGAACCCAGUACCUCAGUUGAAAAUGCAGAAAUCACCUGUCUUCUGUGUCGCUCGCGCUGGGAGUUGGAGACUGGAGCUGUUCCUAUUCGGCCAUCUUGCUCUGCCCCCCAACAUCUUUUAACAAGGUAUCAUAUACAUGUUAACCUUGAUUUUCAAACCAAAAUCAGUGUGUAUAAAAUUUCAAAAGUCUUUGAUAAAUUCCUCAGGAUUUUAAGCUGCAUGAUUAUUAAAUGAGAUUCAGAGGCCCUUCUCAAGAGAUCACAAAAGAAAAAUGGGAAAAAGGUAAAUUGGGAUAAAGCAAAAAUGACUUUGUGGGGAUGGGCAUUUCUGUGAUAGAAGUGGAGACAUUAGCACUGCCAUCAAGGUGGGGUUAGGAUUGGAGAGGAUUACAACGUCAGUGGGUUGGACAGCACUGGGGCAGGAGACCUCAGGAGUCAGGAGGGAUGAGAUCAUCAAGAAGGGGAGACACCUGUGUUCAAAAUCCUUACUCUGUAAAGAAAUUAGACCAGUCUUUCUAGUUCUAAGUUUGUAUGAUUAUCAAAUUUAUUUAUUUUGAGACAGAAUCUCACUCUGUUGCCCAGGCUGGAAUGCAGUGGUGGUGCGAUCUUGGCUCACUGCAACCUCUGCCUCCCAAGUUCAAGUGAUUUUCCUGCCUCAGCCUCCUGAGUAGCAGGGAUUACAGGCACACGCCACCACGCCUGGCUAAUUUUUGUAUUUUCAGUAGAGAUGGGGUUUCACCAUGUUGGUCAGACUGGUCUCGAACCCCUGACCUCAUGAUCCUCCAGCCUCAGCCUCUCAAAAUGCUGAGAUUACAGGCAUGAGCCACUGCACCUGGCCAAUUAUCAAAUUUAUUUACUGAUCUACUAAUCAUCAUGGUACAAGUAAUUCAAAAUGAAAAUAUCAUCUAUUAACAAAUUGUUUUGUGAAGCCAGAAAAAAAAAAGGGGUCCAGGUGCAGCUCACAGGAUUAGAGGUAGCCAGAGUUAUAAGGUUGGCAGGAACAGGGCUCCCAUGGUCAGUGGAAUGGGUCAGAGUUAUUGCAAGUGGGAAACACAGAGACAUGGGAAUUGGGGAUCACUUCAGUAGAUUUAGGGAUGUUCCAGUCAGUUAAGGCAGAGAACGAAGUACAGUGGGAAAGAAUGAGUCACAAGGCCUAUAGAAAAGGGAAGCAGGGUGAUGGAUUCUAGAACAACAUCAAAUCACAUGAGUAAGUUGUGAGUUACUUAAAUGUGUAAUCUAAAUUUGAAAUCAUAGAAGUAGAAAGUAGAACGUUUGUUGUCAGGUGCAGUGGCUCACGCCUGUAAUCCCAGAACUUUGAGAGGCUGAGGCAGGCGGAUCACAUGAUGUCAGGAGUUGCAGACCAGCCUGGGCACCAUAGUGAAACCCCAUCUCUACUGAAAAUACAAAAAUUAGCGGGGUGUUGUGGCGGGUGCCUGUAAUCCCAGCUACUUCGGAGGCAGAGACAGGAGAAUCACUUGAACCUGGGAGGCAGAGGUUGCAGUGAGUGGAGAUAGCACCACUGAACUCCAGCCUGGGUGGCACAUGGAGACUGUCUCAAAAACAUUAAAAAAAAAAAAAAGAAAAAGAAAAAGAAAGAAAAUAGAAUGUUCGUUACCAGAAGCUGGGAUGGUGGGUGGAGGAAAGCAGAAGUGUAGGUCAAAGGGUACAAAGAGAGAGAGGAAGCAAGAAGGAGAAGGUAAUUCAAGAUGAAGAAGAAAGUAUAAGCCAAGUGUUUAGAGUUAGAAAAUGCCAGCCUGCAAAAGCUAGGCUAUUAGCUGUGCAAAGGGCCUCCACUAUUUACUACAUGUGUGACCUUGGAUGAGUUAGUUAACGUGUCUCUGCUUCAUUUCCUUCAUACAUAAAAUGGUGCAACCUCAGUGAAGUGUUAAGAAUAACUUUAAAUUUUAUAUAUAUAUAUAUAUAUAUAUAUAUAUACACACACA